GGGAAAAUGCAUGACCAGUGACCUACCUAGCUCUAGCCAUAGUCUCGCAUUCAACCACAAGACUUUUACUGUGAAGCCGACGGUUUGGGGAGGAGGGGAUUUGAAUUUGAAUUUAAGGAAAGGGACAACUGUGUGUGAGGUGGGCGACAUGGAUGGCCAAUCAAUGAAAGGAUCUAUCAGCUAGGAUAUUGUUCAUCCAAAAUUGCUUUAUAUAUGUGUGGAGUGCAGCAUUUUCUCCCUGUACAAAAAGAGAUGUGACAAGAUGGUUUUACGACCACAGGUAUAUUCUUAUGGUGUUUGAUUCAAGAAAAAACAAGCUCUCUAGUAUGGUGAUGAGAAUUCAAUCGUAUUGAAUAU
RNAcentral lists this long non-coding RNA (357 nucleotides) under Populus tremula. RNAcentral's name for it is "long non-coding RNA (PTRE_LNC002797)". The record is from RNAcentral. Lineage: Eukaryota; Viridiplantae; Streptophyta; Magnoliopsida; Malpighiales; Salicaceae.